UACGAAGGGGGCUAGCGUUGUUCGGAAUUACUGGGCGUAAAGCGCGCGCAGGCGGUCUUCCGAGUCAGUGGUGAAAGCCCGGAGCUCAACUCCGGAACUGCCAUUGAAACUGUAAGACUUGAGGACGAGAGAGGUGAGUGGAAUUCCCAGUGUAGAGGUGAAAUUCGUAGAUAUUGGGAAGAACACCAGUGGCGAAGGCGGCUCACUGGCUCGUAUCUGACGCUCAGGCGCGACAGCGUGGGGAUCAAACAGG
Molecule: ribosomal RNA, 253 nt
Filed under: uncultured bacterium
Lineage: Bacteria
Description: partial 16S ribosomal RNA
Rfam family: Bacterial small subunit ribosomal RNA
Source: RNAcentral